UUGGAACCACCAAACAGGUUCCAACCAUUGAGUUUCUUCUCAGCUUUCUUCUCGAAUUCCUCUCCUCUUGCAGCAUCCGACAUUUUCCGAUUAUUCUGAGCUCCAAAGCGUCGCAGUUAAGAAAAGAGAUGAGAGAGAGACUCAAGAGAGAGAAGAAGAGAAAAGCAAG
Long non-coding RNA from Telopea speciosissima, 169 nucleotides. RefSeq lists it as uncharacterized. The record is from RefSeq and is a predicted model, not a curated record. Lineage: Eukaryota; Viridiplantae; Streptophyta; Magnoliopsida; Proteales; Proteaceae. The transcript has 3 exons.